UCCUUCAGAUAGUCGGGAGCAUUCUGAAAAGCACUUUUGGUCUCUCAUCUUGCAAAUGCAUGUUGGUUUGUCAGAAGGUAUUUUUUGGAAGCAGGAGCAGGUUCCCGAUGUACUUACUGCGUUUUCAUUGUAUGGAGCACCAGGCCCUGCAUGAUUACAGAAGUGAACAAAACAGACCCGGAGGCUGGAGCUGCCCUUCUCUGAGGCGGGGCAGGCUGUGGAAUGAGCGGUUGCGGUGAUGCUCCAUGAGAUGCUUGCUCCGCAUCCAGGUGCACAGCUUGGGGAAAGAGGUGGCCUUUUUGGAUCCAGAGGAGACUCACAGCUCUGUCAUUGCCCACCGCAAACUACGAGCUCCGGGGAGGACCCUGUUUGGCAUCUCUGGCUCCCAGCACGAGGCCUGGCACACACGAGGUACUUAGAAAGGGGGCUGGGAGUUCCCGUCGUGGCUCAGUGGUUAACAAAUCUGACUAGGAACCAUGAG
Long non-coding RNA from Phacochoerus africanus (Common warthog), 481 nucleotides. RefSeq lists it as uncharacterized. The transcript has 3 exons. The record is from RefSeq and is a predicted model, not a curated record. NCBI's taxonomy places the organism in Eukaryota, Metazoa, Chordata, Mammalia, Artiodactyla, Suidae.